RNAcentral lists this long non-coding RNA (1245 nucleotides) under Chrysemys picta bellii (western painted turtle). RNAcentral describes it as "lncRNA (ENSCPBG00000013109.1)". The record is from RNAcentral. Lineage: Eukaryota; Metazoa; Chordata; Testudines; Emydidae.
AUAGCUAUUUUUCUCUGCAAUCCUUGGUGAUGUGGGAGCAGGGUAAUGGUCAGAUGAGAGGAGCAGGGAUGUGGGAAGUGCAUUAGCAUAGCUUGCACAUUGUAGGAAUGAGAAGAUCAUGCAAAAAUGCAAGGAAAAUUGAAUGGAUGGCUAACCCUACCAUUAUGUGAUUGGGGAUGAAGCUAGAAAGGUGCACAGAAAAUGAAGAGGCAGCCCCAAGACCAAGAAGUCAUGGUAUGGAAGGGGUCACAGAGUAAGAGGUGAAAACGAGAGGGAAAGAGCAGGGGGAAGAGUGUAGAGAAAAGGGGGUGGAGAUAGAAGAGCGAGCCAAUCAGAGAGGAGGUUUAGGAACCAGAAGAAUGUAGAAGAGGAAAGGCAGAGAGAGAGAGAGAGAGAGAAUCACAUUCUGCCAUUCCCAGAGAAAAGGCUACUGUACCUCAUGACACCUUACUUGACUUUUCUUGAGUAACUAAUGGGAUAAGUGAAGGGACCCAGCUGAAAGUGGAAAAACUGGGGCCAGAGGAAUCUUAAAAGAAGACAAAAGAGUAUGAAAAGAAGGAAGUGGGUCACAUGCCUAUAGGUAUUAAUACCUUUUAGACUUCAAUAGUUAUUAAACAAAUAUCUUUCCCUGACUUUUCCUUUCAUGCCUUCCAUCCACCUCAAGGCUUUGGGGCUCUAAACCUCCAGCAAACUAAGCUUCUCUCAGUGCUUUUUUUCUUACCUACCCCAUCCCUCUCUCCUUCUUCCAGCCCUCCAUCUCAUUCUUAAUGAAUACUGUGCCCAUGUUCAUUUGUCAGUGGAAACCAUCCUGAUGGUAUCUCUGCCAUCCAUUCUGCAUCACCUGAAGCAAUCCAUUGGAUCACCAGUCAAGACUUGGACAUCUAACACUGCUGUUUUUAAGCCAUAUGAAAGAAAGAAAGAAAGAAAGAAAGAAAGAAAGAAAGAAAGAAAGAAAGAAAGAAGAGCUAGUGAAUCUGUUGGUUCUAAAGGUCAGUGGAUGUUGAAGAUGUCUUGGUACAUUUGGAAAUGUGGCUAUCUACUAUGGUUUGGAGGACGUGAAUGGAAGCUAAUAACACUUAGCACUGAGGAGCUCCAAGCACCUUACAAAGAAUAAUGGAAGUGAUGUGCCCCUUUGAAAAAGACUUGAAUGCAGGCCAAAGCUUUGGGAAACUGAUUCUCAAGAGGAUUAAUCAGCAUUUAAAACUUGCAUUAAUAAAAAUCUGAUCUUCUACUGUGUGGCGUGCA